AUUGAACGCUGGCGGCGUGCUUAACACAUGCAAGUCGCGCGGUAACAGGCGUAGCAAUACGUGCUGACGAGCGGCGAACGGGUGCGUAAUACAUGGGAAUCUGCCUUUUAGUGGGGAAUAACCCGGCGAAAGCCGGGCUAAUGCCGCAUAAGAUCUUCGGAUGAAAGCGGGGGAUCGUAAGACCUCGCGCUGAUAGAUGAGCCCAUGCCGGAUUAGCAGUUGGUGAGGUAACGGCUCACCAAGGCGACGAUCCGUAGCUGGUCUGAGAGGACGGCCAGCCACACUGGGACUGAGACACGGCCCAGACUCCUACGGGAGGCAGCAGUGGGG
Molecule: ribosomal RNA, 330 nt
Filed under: uncultured bacterium
Lineage: Bacteria
Description: bacterial SSU rRNA
Rfam family: Bacterial small subunit ribosomal RNA
Source: RNAcentral